Molecule: ribosomal RNA, 3000 nt
Filed under: Triticum aestivum (bread wheat)
Lineage: Eukaryota; Viridiplantae; Streptophyta; Magnoliopsida; Poales; Poaceae
Description: partial small subunit ribosomal RNA
Source: RNAcentral
AUGGAGUUGGUGGUAGGUGCUUCGGAUGCCACUAUGAAAAUUCUACUGGGCAAGCUGGGCGGCCUGCUAGCCCAGGAGUAUGCUCUGAUCAGGGGCGUGCGCGAUGACAUCCAGUACAUCAACGACGAGCUCGCCAGUAUGCAGGCCUUCCUCCGCGACCUCAGCGCUUCGCCGGACGACCAAGACAACCGGAUGAAGGACUGGAUGAAGCAGAUCCGCGACGUCGGGUACGACGUUGAAGAUUGCAUCGACGACUUCACCCACCGCCUCCCACACGAUUCCAUGAACGAAGCCAGAUGUUUCUUCGUAGUCAUGAGAAUCUAUGAACUCCGGACCUGGUGGCAUCGCCGUGACAUCACGGUCAAAAUUGCUGCCCUCAAGGUCCGGGCCCAACAGAUUGCAGAACGACGCAACAGAUAUGGAGUGGACAACCCAAGCAAAUGUACUGGCAGCAGCUCAUCUGGAGUCCGUGACGCUACGGAGGUAAUCGCUGAGUAUCAGCUAGCAAGCCGUCAGCUAAUUGGUACGAAGGAGCCCGUGGGGAUGAGGAAAGACAUGGAGAAGCUUGAGCAGUGGGUAAAUGGACCUGACAUUGAGCCAGCUGUUUUGUCCAUAGUCGGAUUUGGCGGUGUGGGGAAGACUACUAUUGCGACUGCUUUGUACCAAAAGCUCCAGAAUCAAUUUGUGUAUCGAGCAUCGGUCACUGUGUCUCAGAACUAUGACAAAGAUGCAGUCCUCAAGAGUAUUCUCAACCAAGUCAGGCAACAGGACCGCGAUUACGAGCAGCAAGGCAGCAGCAGCAGCAGCAGCAGCACUGGGAGUUCCGAAAAGAAGAGCCUGGCGGAAAAAAUUAAAAGCACAUUGAAGCUACUUUUUCCACUUCGUAGACAACAGCGGCAGAACGAUGGAAGCUCUGAUGCGAAGCAGAUCAAGAUGGAAACAAUGAGCCAUGAUCAAGUCAGCGAAGAACUGAAAAAACGUCUGGCUAGUAAAAGGUAUCUCCUCUUUAUUGAUGACAUAUGGUCUGCGAAAACAUGGGACAGUAUCAAAAUUUGUUUGCCUGCUGAAAAUGUAGAAGGCAGUAGAAUAAUCGUGACUACAAGAUUUCAAGUUGUUGGCGAGACAUGCUGCCCAAGAUAUGGACGUGAUCUUCUGCACACAGUCGAUAUUCUCGGUGGUAAUGACCCCAAAACAUUAUUCCAUGAAAGUGUUUCUGAAUGCAAAAGCAGGAAAGGCAGCGAUAGAGUACAGGUGGACGUCCCUGAGGAGAUAUGGAAAAUAUGCGGCGGACUGCCUUUGGCCAUUGUGACCAUAUCUGGUCUUGUUGCCUGCAACCCAAGAAAAUCCAAGGACGAUUGGAGAAAAGUUUGUGACAAAUUAUUUUCAGAGCCAGUGGCUUCUCUUACCCUAACUGGGGUAACAAGAAUACUCGAUCAUUGCUACAAUGAUUUGCCAGCAGACCUCAAGACCUGCUCACUUUAUUUGAGCAUAUUUCCGAAGGGUGGGAAAAUCAGGAUGAAACGUUUGACCCGCCGAUGGAUAGCAGAAGGUUUCGCUAGCGAGAAGCAAGGGCUCACUGAGGAGGAAGUUGCAGAAACAUACUUUAAUCAGCUAAUAAGAAGGAAGAUAAUACGGCCUGUGGAACACAGCAGCAAUGGGAAGGUAAAAACCUUCCAAGUGCAUGAUAUGGUUCUUGAAUAUAUCGUGUUGAAGGCAAGGGAAGAGAAUUUUAUCACUGUGGUUGGUGGCCACUGGUUGUUGCCAGCGCCUAGCAAUAAAGUGCGUCGGCUUUCCAUACAAAGCAGUGGUUCCAAGCCUAUAAAUUCUACCAGAGGCAUGAACUUAUCUCAGGUGCGAUCAGUGACCGUAUUUGGGAGCCUACACCAACUGCCUUUUCAGUGUUUCAAUGAUGCAAUAAUACAGGUCCUCGAUCUUGAGGGUUGGACUGGUUUGAAGGAGAAACAUCUCAAAGACAUAUGUAAAAUGCUUGUACUCAAGUAUUUGGGCCUCCGAAGAACAGGGAUUACCAAACUUCCAUCCAACAUUGGGAAACUCGAGUAUUUGGAGACUCUUGACAUAAGGCAGACGAAGGUCUGGGAGCUGCCAAAAACUGUAGGCAGGCUCAAACGGAUCAGUAGCAUACUUGGUGGUGAAAAAAACACAUGCAAGGGGUUUAAGUUACCUCAAGAAAAGAGCAAGGAUCCAAUGAAAUACAAGGAGACAAUGAAGGCACUUCGUAUACUGUCAGGCAUUGAGAUCGUUGAGGAUUCAACAGCUGUAGCUGGCCUUCAUCAGUUGACGAGUCUAAGAAAGCUUUCCAUUUACAAGCUCAAAAUUCAGAAAAAUGGUAAAACAUUCAGAGAAUUGCGCUCUGCUAUUGAGUAUCUUGGCAGCUGCGGUCUGCAGACUCUGGCAAUCAAUGAUGAGGGGUCUGAUUUUAUUAACUCACUAUACUCCAUGUCCGCUCCACCUAGGUACCUCACAGCCCUUGAGCUAUCUGGCAAUAAAUUGGAAAGGCUACCUCAAUGGAUCAUCAAACUCACUACCCUCAGCAAGUUAACACUUUCCGUGACAGUCCUUCGGGCAACUACAUUCGACCUCCUCCGCUGGCUGCCUAUGUUAUUCUCCCUCACCUUUUCACUUCAUGCAGUGAAGCAGAAUCAGCAAGUGGAGGAGAUCCUCAAGAAGAACAUGUCGGAGUCCGACGGAGAGAUCUUUGUUCCAGGCCAAGGAUUCCCGAGUCUUAAGUUGCUUCGUUUCCGUGCACCUUUCAUUCCAAAGCUGAGCUUUUCAGUGUAUGCAAUGCCAGCACUUGAAAGGAUCGAGACGUUUUGUCAAUCCUUCGAAGGCCUUUUCGGCAUUGAUGCCCUUAAAAGUCUCCAGGAGGUGCAUCUCAAAUUAAGUGAUCAAGCUGAUGAUGCGACCAAGUUCCUUGUAGAUUAUUUGAAGGCCAACACCAAGGGAGCUCAUGUAAUCAUCGAUCAUUUAGCACCUGCUUGA